GGAUCCUUAGCUCAGCUGGUUAGAGCGUUCGCUUCACACGCGAGAGGUCGCUGGUUCGAAUCCAGUAGGAUCCA
Molecule: transfer RNA, 74 nt
Filed under: Auritidibacter ignavus
Lineage: Bacteria; Bacillati; Actinomycetota; Actinomycetes; Micrococcales; Micrococcaceae
Also listed under: 5 other names
Description: tRNA-Val
Rfam family: tRNA
About the family: Transfer RNA (tRNA) molecules are approximately 80 nucleotides in length. Their secondary structure includes four short double-helical elements and three loops (D, anti-codon, and T loops).
Source: RNAcentral